Molecule: non-coding RNA, 614 nt
Organism: Hydra vulgaris (swiftwater hydra)
Lineage: Eukaryota; Metazoa; Cnidaria; Hydrozoa; Anthoathecata; Hydridae
Source: RefSeq, a predicted model, not a curated record
GCUCUGGAGAAAAAAAAGGAAGACAGCGAAAAUGAUAAAGAGACAAAAAAUUGUGUAUAUCUUGGUGUAAAUGAUUUAUCCUCAAUUUCUUAUAAUAAAACAAAAAAUAUUAUUAAACAUUGGGAUUUACUUGUAACUCGAAACUCUUUACAGAAGUUCAAUGUUUGCUCUGAGAAGUUGAAUGAACAAAAUUUAUGAAAUGUAUUCAUUCUUAGUCAUCAUUAAAGUACAAUUUGGUUAACUACAAAACACAUCAAGUUCAGUUAUAAAAAUUUGAGUAACAAUGGUAUGCUAAUUAUUGUACUGCCUGAAAGAGUGUCAUUGCUAUUAAAAGCAGUGAAGAAUUCAAGUACUCUGGAAGAAAAGAAAAUACGUCAAUAAUUUGGCACAAAUCGGAGUUAAAGACAAAGGAGAUUGUAUACUUUAUUUGCUAAGAAUAGUUUUUAAAAAUGGCCUAGUUGUAAAAUUAAACUAUGCAGGGAGAGGACAAAAAUAUGGAAUAGAAAAACGUUGAUUGCAUAUGCUGCUAUUGGUAAGUGAUUUAGAAAAGUUUAUUUUUUCAGUUUCAAUUUUGCAUUACAGAAUUACUUUCAAUUUGUUAUGUUUCUUUGGUG